UUUUGGGCAAUGGGCGAAAGCCUGACCCAGCAACGCCGCGUGAGGGAUGAAGUAUUUCGGUCUGUAAACCUCGAAAGAAUGGGAAGAAUAAAUGACGGUACCAUUUAUAAGCUCCGGCUAACUACGUGCCAGCAGCCGCGGUAAUACGUAGGGAGCAAGCGUUGUUCGGAUUCACUGGGUUUAAGGGGGGCGUAGGUGGGUAUGUAAGUCAGUGGUGAAAUCCCCGAGCUUAACUUGGGAACUGCCAUUGAUACUAUAUAUCUUGAAUGUCGGAAGGGUAAGCGGAAUACGUCAUGUAGCGGUGAAAUCCUUUGAUAUUCCAUGGAACACCAAUUGCGAAGGCAGCGUACUAUGCCGUGAUUGACCCUGAG
RNAcentral lists this ribosomal RNA (371 nucleotides) under uncultured bacterium. Its description in RNAcentral is "bacterial SSU rRNA". It matches the Rfam family "Bacterial small subunit ribosomal RNA", at positions 362 to 750 of the family's 1533-position model. The record is from RNAcentral.